UGAGAGUAUAAAAGAGUGAGAGGCC
RNAcentral lists this non-coding RNA (25 nucleotides) under Mus musculus (house mouse). Lineage: Eukaryota; Metazoa; Chordata; Mammalia; Rodentia; Muridae. The record is from RNAcentral.